UGGCUCAGAUGGUAAAGCAUCUGCCUGCAAUGCAGGAGACCUGGGUUCGAUCCCUG
Non-coding RNA from Bos taurus (domestic cattle), 56 nucleotides. NCBI's taxonomy places the organism in Eukaryota, Metazoa, Chordata, Mammalia, Artiodactyla, Bovidae. The record is from Rfam.